RNAcentral lists this ribosomal RNA (392 nucleotides) under uncultured bacterium. Its description in RNAcentral is "bacterial SSU rRNA". It matches the Rfam family "Bacterial small subunit ribosomal RNA", at positions 32 to 409 of the family's 1533-position model. The record is from RNAcentral.
AAUCAACGCUGGCGGCGUGCCUAACACAUGCAAGUCGAACGCGAAAGGGGAGCAAUCCCUGAGUAGAGUGGCAAACGGGUGAGUAACACGUGGGUGACCUGCCUUCGAGUGGGGGAUAACGUCCCGAAAGGGACGCUAAUACCGCAUGACAUCCUGCUUUUGGAAAAGCGGAGAUCAAAGCUGGGGAUCGCAAGACCUAGCGCUUGAAGAGGGGCCCGCGCCUGAUUAGCUAGUGGUGAGGUAAUGGCUCACCAAGGCUACGAUCAGUAUCCGGCCUGAGAGGGCGGACGGACACACUGGGACUGAGACACGGCCCAGACUCCUACGGAGGCAGCAGUGGGGAAUUGUUCGCAAUGGGCGCAAGCCUGACGACGCAACGCCGCGUGGAGGAU